CAGUUAACACAAUAAGUAUCCCACCUGGGGAGUACGAUCGCAAGGUUGAAACUCAAAGGAAUUGACGGGGGCCCGCACAAGCGGUGGAGUAUGUGGUUUAAUUCGAAGCAACGCGAAGAACCUUACCAGGGCUUGACAUCCCGGUGGCCGCUCUAGAGAUAGAGUUUCCCUUCGGGGCACCGGUGACAGGUGGUGCAUGGUUGUCGUCAGCUCGUGUCGUGAGAUGUUGGGUUAAGUCCCGCAACGAGCGCAACCCUUAUUGUUAGUUGCUACGCAAGAGCACUCUAGCGAGACUGCCGUUGACAAAACGGAGGAAGGUGGGGACGACGUCAAAUCAUCAUGCCCCCUUAUGUCCUGGGCCACACACGUACUACAAUGGUGGUCAACAGAGGGAGGCAAUGCCGCGAGGCGGAGCAAAUCCCCUAAAAGCCAUCCCAGUUCGGAUUGCAGGCUGAAACCCCGCCUGUAUGAAGUUGGAAUCGCUAGUAAUCGCGGAUCAGCAUGCCGCGGUGAAUACGUUCCCGGGCCUUGUACACACCGCCGUACG
RNAcentral lists this ribosomal RNA (547 nucleotides) under uncultured bacterium. RNAcentral describes it as "bacterial SSU rRNA". It matches the Rfam family "Bacterial small subunit ribosomal RNA", at positions 848 to 1399 of the family's 1533-position model. The record is from RNAcentral.